GCCGAGGUGGUGAAAUGGUAGCCACGCGGGACUUAAAAUCCCGUUCCCUUCAAAGGAGUGCGGGUUCGAGUCCCGCCCUCGGCACCA
RNAcentral lists this transfer RNA (87 nucleotides) under Candidatus Collierbacteria bacterium RIFCSPHIGHO2_01_FULL_50_25. RNAcentral describes it as "tRNA-Leu". It matches the Rfam family "tRNA". Rfam says of the family: Transfer RNA (tRNA) molecules are approximately 80 nucleotides in length. Their secondary structure includes four short double-helical elements and three loops (D, anti-codon, and T loops). Further hydrogen bonds mediate the characteristic L-shaped molecular structure. tRNAs have two regions of fundamental functional importance: the anti-codon, which is responsible for specific mRNA codon recognition, and the 3' end, to which the tRNAs corresponding amino acid is attached (by aminoacyl-tRNA synthetases). tRNAs cope with the degeneracy of the genetic code in two manners: having more than one tRNA (with a specific anti-codon) for a particular amino acid; and 'wobble' base-pairing, i.e. permitting non-standard base-pairing at the 3rd anti-codon position. RNAcentral also lists the same sequence under 2 other names. Lineage: Bacteria; Candidatus Collieribacteriota. The record is from RNAcentral.